Molecule: non-coding RNA, 5884 nt
Organism: Manis javanica (Malayan pangolin)
Lineage: Eukaryota; Metazoa; Chordata; Mammalia; Pholidota; Manidae
Source: RefSeq, a predicted model, not a curated record
UGGGCCGGAGGAGGGGGAGCAGUGCCGGGUGUUCGGGAGAGGGUGGGAGGAGCCAGGAGCAUCCGUGACAGAGCUGUGGGCCCAGUCACACCCAGAAUAAACUGCCACUUGGUCAGAUGCACAGUAAGCGUCCAGCAGUAGAUGGAGCCCGCAGCCAGCUUCCUAAAUUCCCUAGACCGGAGUUUUUCUGCUACUUCUCGGAAAUUAGCGAAUCACUGUAUUUCUCAGAAUGUCUCAAGUCUCCUUUGCUCCCAGCUGAGAUCAAAAAGAGUUGCAGAGGGAGGGAGCCUGGAGAUUUGAUAAGGUUAAUUGAAGUCCCCCAAGGUCAGAUGGUUCCACCACUGGAGGUCCAGGCGGCCUAAAGUCAGGGAGAAACAGCCCCAAGCUCCGUGGGUCAGAACCGCCCCUCAGUAAGACGGGAGCCACACCUGAUAGCCUUCACUCACUUGAUGGGUGCUUCUCCCCGGUUCUCCCCAUGGAAGUGGAUGGACCUUGGCAGUGGGUCACUGGAGCUGUCCUCUGUGGUACUGAGGACAGUGUGGCAGGUGCAGAAACCUUCCUGAACCUCCCAGCUCAGCCCAGCCUCCAGCACCGCAGCCAAGGCCAUGGGUUGCAGAACAGCCAGCACUGGGGCCACCUGAACCCUGACCACAGCGUGUGGCAGAUAAUGCGUCGUGAUGCUUGAGGCGGCCACACUUUUGGAUGGUUUGUGACCAACACGUGGGAACUGAGUCGGGGAGUGGCACAGUCUGGGAGUGGCCUAGACUUACUCCACCAGGAGUUGCUUCCCUCGUGGCUGUCCAUCGUCCCUGGCCCCCUCCCUGCCAGCUGCAGUGUGUCACUUACAGCUGGUGUCAGUGUGGCACGACCCUGUGCGUCCCAUUUUCCAUUAGGUUCUUUAUUCCCUCCUGGUGGGUCAUCUUUGAUUCUCACUCAGCUUUAAUGAGUCCUCCUAGCUGUGUGUGGUAACAUGUCAAAUUAAUUUCUCCCCGCCUCGAAUGGCUUUUGUUUUUGAUUCCUCCACAUCCUCAGGAUACCUCUAGGCAUGCUGGUAUCUUCAUUCAUCUUCUGUGACUUAAAUGCAUUGAUUGCCCAGAGUGGGACAGUCCAUGUCGCACAUCUCACAGCACAGGCCACCUGAGAUAUCUCCCUACUUCCCCUACAGUGUCUACACUGACUCAAGGUGUCUCUUAAUAUCCUGUAGCAUCUAUGCUGAUCCCUAAUUCAUCUACUGGGUCUCCACGCACCUUGAAUGGAUCUACACUACUAUGGAUGUCUACAUAGUUGUCUGCAGUUUCUACACUGCCUGGUGUAUCUGGCUAGUUUCCUGGUAUGUCUACACUGACCUGAGGUGUCUCCACUGACCUAGGAAGUUUCCUUGGUCACUGGUGUGUCUACACCAGCCUCAGUUGUCCCCUUAGUUAGCUAGUGCGUCAACACUGACCUGAGAUGUUUCCUUAGUAUUAUGGUAUGUCUACUACUCUGAUGUUUCUUCCUAGAUCCCUUCGUGUGUCUACCAUCCUGAGAUCACUCUAGUCCCCUAGUUUUUAGCACUGACCCCAGUUCUCCUAGUGUGUCUACACUGCAGAUGGAGGUUUACACUGAUCAAGAUGUCUCCUAGUUCCCACAUGUCUGCGCUGACCAAAGACGUCUCCUUUGCCCCCUAGUGUGUGAACAUUUACCUCGGGUUUCUCCAUAGUUCCCUUAUGUCUGCACUUCCUGGGCCAUUUCCUUAGUACACCUGUUGUGUCUGUACUGGCCUGGGAUGUCUCAGUAAUGCCUCUGCUGUGUCUACACUGACCUGGUUGACUUCCUUCUUCCCGUUUUAUUUAUGCUAACCCUAAGUGAGUCCACAUCAGCCAGGGAUGUGUCUCUGUUACCCUGUGCACACUGAGCCUGCAGUGUUUCCCAGCUCACUUGGCCCUGCACUGACCACAUGUCUGGUGCUGACCCUGCCGUCCUCCAUGAAGCCUGCUGAGGAGGCAAAGCAGCCUGGGGCAAGGUGCCUGCAGACAAGGAGGUCCCGCUGCUGUGGGAAGAGACAGAGCCCUUCUCCCUGAAGGAGCUUCAUGCCCCUGGCCAGAAAACUGGGGGUGCCAUGCCCUAGUAGAAGGGAGGUGAGCUGGGGCAAUGGUCGCAGCAAGACCAGCCUGGGUCUCAGACAGCCCUCCUUGCAUCUCAGCUGCAGCCAGGAGGCUUCCUGCACCUUCCCACCAAGGCCUGUGGGGAACUUAGUGUCUCAGAUUUGUCUACUCUCAUCUCUGAAGUCCCCCUACUUCCCCAGAUGCUUCUCCCCUAACCUGGGUUCCUACUUCCCCAGGCGUGUUUGUUUUGACCUGGGAGGUCUCCCUAUUUCAUCAGAAGUGUCCUCCCUAAUGUGGGAUAUUUCCUUGGGGACCAUGGAUUGCCUAACAUGACCAGGAGUGUUUCUCUGAUUCUAAGGUGAGUCUAACAUGAUCAGCAUGACCCUGUUGCCCUAGGUGUUUCUGCUCUGACCAAAGAGGUCUCCCUGGCUCCCUAGGAGUAUCUUCUCUGACUUAGGGUGUCUCAUUCUCCAGGUUCGUCUGCACUAACCUUAGAUGUCUCUUAGUUCUUCAGGCUUGUCUACCAUAACCUAGGAUGUAUCCCUUAUUUCUCAGAUGUGUCCACUGAGAAUGUGGACAUAAUUUCACAGAUGUUCUGACACUAACUGGAGAUGUCUUAUUCCCAGAUGUAUCUAAUCUCACCUGAGGAGUCUCCCUAAUUACCAAAGUGUGUCUGUUGUUCAGUGAUGACUCUCUCUUUCCCCAGGUAAUCUGCCUUGACCAGUGAGGUCUCCCUAAUCUCUGAGAUGUCUCCCUAGUUCUCUGGGUAUGUCUGUUCUGAUCUGUGAUGUCUCUAUGAGAUCAGGGUAGAGAAACCAGAGACUUGGGAACAUGCUCUAGGUCAGUGUACACGUAUGGGGAAUUACUGAAACAUCCCAGGUGAAUGUAGACACACCUGUGGAAUUAGGGAGAGCACCCACAUCAAAGCAGACACACCUGGGGUAUAAGGGAGACACUCUGGGGCAGAGUAGACUCAUCUGGUCAUCACUGAUAUCCCAGCUCAGGUGGGCAAGCCUGGGAAAUCAGACAUCUGUGUCACUGUAGACACACCAGGAAAUUGGAAAGACUUCCUGGGCUAGACACAGUACACACUGAAUGAACUAGCAACAUGUCCCAGGUCAGUGUAGACACACCUAUCUGGCUCUCCCUGCACUGCUCCAUGUGAAUAUAGGGUUUUAAUUCCCCUCAGAUAGGCCAUCCUUUUUAACGUUAACAUCUGGUCAUUUGGGAUCUUUGAAACAUCUGGAUGUCUGUAAUGGCUGGAGAAACUAAGCCCAGGAGAGACAAAUACCAUAAGCCACAUCCACCUCCUUUAUUCAGGGAACUUGCUCAUUACAAUAUGUGUGGUUGUCAUGGUAACACGUGGCAGGGACAAAAACCCUAAAAGGCUUGGAGAAGAUAAUUUUAUAAGCUCAGAUUCUUGGCUGAAGUGGCUUAAACCUGAUUCUUGCUGGCUUGAGCAAACAGGGCUCCACUUUCUCUUUCAUCUUUGCUUGCACACUCGGAAAGGCCAUGUGAGUACAGGGCCAGCACAGCUGGGGCUCACACUGUCACCAGGACCACCAUCUCUUUAUCACAUGCUCUGCGGCUUCUUAACAGAAGUCCUCAUCCAGUGUCACACAGCAGCACUGAAAGGCCCAAACCCAGCUGAUUGUUCAUAUGAGCAAGUCUGGACUUUAAAUAACUACCUGACAGGCACUUAGGAUAAAUGCCACCAAGAUAAAGUACUGAAAUGAGAAUUUGACAAAUCUGAAGGUGUAGUGAGGGUGUCCCUGAGGAAGUGACAUUUAAUCCAAGACCUAAAGACUCAAUAUCAACAGGAAGACAAAGGGACACUGGGCAAGCUCUCCAGGGGUGCAUUACAUACACACAAACUCUGGGUCUGGAAAGUUGCUGACCCAUUUGAAGGACUGAUCCAGGGCAGGGCAGGAAACGUGUGUGAGAAGCAGGGGUCUUGCCAAGGUCUAGAGCACAGCAGCUACACAGGGCUCGGGGGAUUCUGCCAUCAGGACACGGAUUGGCAUGGUGGGCCUCUCAUUGGACAGAGAUGGGUUAGUUCAAACAUCAAAAAGAAUAGUGACUGCAGUGGACUAAGGGACACUGGGCACAGAAAAAAUCAACCCUCGACACCAGGAAGGAAGGUGCAGACACCACUGUUUACCUUACAGAGGUGAAUGGAUUAGAGAGGGCAAUCAACAGCAUACACCAACCUGCUAUGCCUGUGAACUGGACAGCUUCCUAGGACACACAGACGUCCACCACUGACUCAGAAAGAGACAGAAAAUCUGGUCAGACCUGUAACAAGGGGAGAGAUUGUACCAGUAAUGAAAACCUCUGAAAAGAGGGCAGCCAGGACCAGAUAGCUGCACUCGUGAACACUACUGCAUUUUAAAAGGUGACUGUGGUGCCCAGGAACCUGCUGUCACGUGGCCCCGGCAACAUUCGCCACCGAAGAAGGCACUAACAGCCAGCACAGCUCCCUCACAAAUUUCAUCAGCUUUCUACACAGUUACCACAAGUUCCUCUGUAAAUGCACCCAUUGCUCCUGCCAAGAAGUUCUUUCUCCUGCCUUGGCCUGAGGCUCCAGUUCUGAACCCAGGACUACAGAGGGUUUCCUAGGGCAGCAGGUCUCUUAAAAAAAACAUUACGCGUGUUAGUGGAAUAGGUGAGUUCAAUGUUUCAGAAGUGACAUCCUAAAGUCAGGACACAGGGUGAAAUGGUGGACAGUCAACAUUGCCCUUGACGACUACACACAGCCCCUGAAUUGCAGCAAUUAAGGACACAGCAUCCCAGUUCCUGUGGGCAGUCCCCUGGGGCCUGGGGCCAGUGUUUCCCCAGCCAAGCAUGGGGGACAGAGACAGCUCGCAGGGAAGGAGGGCCCAGAGGCUCGGCUCUCCAGGCUGCGAGCACAUUCAGCAAAGCACCACCCACCGAGCAGCGACCUGCAAGACCAGAUGAGUGGCUCAUGCCCGUCUCACGCCCUUGGCCAUGACGUUGCCCAAGCUCCCCUCGCCUGAGCCUCUCAUGACUACAGGCACCAACUUCCCAGCCCAAUCCCUAGGGUGACCGGCAGGGCCUCCACUGUGCUGCAGGCUGAGCGUGCUCUCCCACCAGGGCCCCCAGUCAGCCAGUUCUCAACCCAUCUGCCGUGCCCCUCUCCUGAUCCCAAUGUCUACCUUUGAAGGCAAGUGGAGUAUGGAAUUUAUGUCAGAGGCAUUAGCUGGGCACCUGCUCUGCUCAAGCAUGGAGUGAGUCGCUGGGGUUUGCCUUCCGGUGUGUUGAUCACAAACUGCUCACCCCUGUCCACUGAAUUCAGGGCUUUGUGUGCUGGUUGAGUGAGAGCCGGCACAGGACCUGAGCCCCUGGAGGCAGCUGCUGAAAUGUGUUCCUGGUCUCUGCAAAGAUGCAAAGUAUGCACCGUGGGCCACGAACACAUCAUUCUGUCCCCAGGGAUUCAGGGCAGAUGUCCCUGAGGCAAAGCUUCUGCUCGCCUACCACAAAGCCUGCCUGCUGAUGAGGCUGCCCUAGACAUCAGUCCCGUCCAUCACAGCCCAGCUACCAAAACAGGCGAGGGAAGCAGGCAGAUGCACCCAAAGGACACCACCCUGGGAGGAGCAGCAUUCAGCACAAGGGCUGUGUGUUCCCAUGGAGACAACAUAAAAUCCAACAGAGGAAAUGGAAGCCGAGUGUCAAGAAUUUGUUUAAUUUUAAUGGGAGUAGCACUGAAACUGCUCAUUCCCAGUGCUGUUUGAAAUGUUUGCAUGGUAACAGUAAAUGCCUUUGAUCUUGUUGGUUUUUAA